GGGAGUUGGGAGAAAGCUCAGAAGCUUGUUGGGAAAAGCAGAAGGCAGAGAGGCAAGGGCACAGGGCUUCUGAGGGCUGUGACCAAGGGCAGACUCCAUCCACUUAACUUUGCCGGAGGCUGGUCCAGCUGCCCAGCUGCCCACCUCAGCAUGGGGAAUGGAAGGCAACAUGAUUGAUGAGCCUUUGGACAUAUCCAACUGCUUAGAGAUGCCCACACAUGCCAGCCAGCGCCCAGCCUUGGCAAGUGCAUCCAUUUCUCACCUGGUCCUGGCAGCAGACAGGGAGCAGCCAACCACAUGUCACUGGUAGAGAAAUCAAGGCAGGCACUGGGAGUGCAAUGACAGUUUGCAUCAGGAAGGUUUGCACCAGGAUGAUUUGCACCAGGAAGUUUUGCACUGGGACGGUUUGCACCAGGAAGGUUUGCACCACGACGAUUUGCACCAGGAAGUUUUGCAAUGGGACGGUUUGCACCAGGAAGGCAGGGGCAACAGAAUCACAAUUCCCUGAGUGCCAGUUGCACACUGGGCACUGUGCUAAGCACUGUAUACCCAUCCUCACUUUUAACUCACACAAGGUUGUUCUUAUUCUCCCCCAUUGCAGAUGAGACCCAGGGCCUAAGUUAAACAACUUGCCCAAAGUCCGGCACGCUUAGGAGGAGGCACACCUGACUUUUGACUCUACGUCUGCCUACUCCCUGAUCUAUGCUCUUUCUAGAAAGUGGACACUUGCCCAGAUAACACCACUUCUAUCCACUUCUAUCCCUUGGGGAGGCCCUACCCCAUUUCAGCUGGGCUCAGAGCUGGGCAAAUUCAGGCCUAGAGUGGAUUUCAACUCUGCCACCUGCCAAAGGGUAGACCCCAACAUGCCAUGUGUUUCUCCAGUGGGCAUCCUUGGGUUCCCUGGCUCCAUGCUUAGGAGGCUGGGCCCUCCACCUGACUUCUUCAAAGCCCUCCCCAAGAGCCAGCUCCUGCAGAGCCAAGAGCCGUGAGCCGAUCCUCCAAAAACCAGACCCACAGGACAAGAGGCCAGGAGGGAGCGGCCAGCUCUCGGUGAACACAGGUACAGGGCCUUGGCAGGCUCAGCGGUCAGGACGUCCAGGUCUCAUCUCCAGUCUGCCUCUUGCUAGUCACUUGACCUCCCGCAGCCUCAGUUUCCCCAUCUGUAAGAUGAUGACGACACCCUCCAGCUCCUUAGUAAAGGAAUGAUAAAAUGACAGUUCAGCGUCUGUAUUUUAAUACCUGCGUCAUUAUGUAAUCAUUUUGUGAUGCAGCCACCUCUGGCACAGAAAAAGUCACUCUGUGCCUA
Molecule: long non-coding RNA, 1306 nt
Filed under: Pan troglodytes (chimpanzee)
Lineage: Eukaryota; Metazoa; Chordata; Mammalia; Primates; Hominidae
Description: long non-coding RNA NONPTRT006993
Source: RNAcentral